Oryzias melastigma (Indian medaka) is the source of this 1343-nucleotide long non-coding RNA. RefSeq lists it as uncharacterized. The record is from RefSeq and is a predicted model, not a curated record. The transcript has 2 exons. NCBI's taxonomy places the organism in Eukaryota, Metazoa, Chordata, Actinopteri, Beloniformes, Adrianichthyidae.
AUGAGUGUUUGAAAUGUUGCCCUUGAUAAUUCUCCAGUGAAAAGUGGAUUUAGUGAGCUGUUACUGAAUUACAGCAACUCUAAGCACUUUCACUCGUUGGUCCCUCCAACCAGAAACCAGGAGGAUCAUGGGUUGGGGCUGCUUUUCUGUUGAUGGGAUGUUUUUUUAUUAUUAUUAAGCCCAGCUUUUAGCUAAUUGUAUUAUUUCAAUAUAUUAUUUAUUUAUAUAUUUAGUUGAUGGUACAGUACAUUAUAAAAAGCUAAUUUUUGAUUCCUAAUUUGAAUGUUUUAUAAUUGUAAAAUGUUCUAUAAAUAUUUCUUCUUUUUAGGAUCAUUUUUUCUCCAGUGCUUCCUCAGUUGCAUCAUCUCCCUUUGGGCUCCUGUUCAGCCGCUGCAGCUCUGGAUGGGGACCUGUAUCCCCUCCAUGCUGUGGUGAGGCCUGGUCUCGUGCGUUUUGGGUCCUCCACCAACACUUCCUGACAGAAUGACCUGACCACCUUGCACCCAGCAGGAGAAAUUUUGCACACCAUACCAUGCCACAUAAGAUGGGUUUCUCUGCUGCCAUAUUCAUGUCAUGCCAUUCCACGUCCAAUGAAUCCAUUCCUGAGGGAGAUUAUCAAGGCCAUCCUUCAAGCUCCCUGUUCCUGAGAAGGGUUGCCGAGUCAUGGUCUUCGCUCACCCCCCUUGACUGUUUCCUUUUCCAGACGAGGGGCCGCUCCCCUAUGUUUCCUGGAGAGUCAUCAGGACCACUCCUCUUGUCGUCUGUUCUUGAGGAGGGGUUCUGAUACCCUUAACAUCCGUCUGGCUGCAGGACCCCUAAGUCUGUUUUGGACUUGUUUUUCUUUUGUUCCUUCAUGUCCCCUUCUCCCAGGCAUUUUUGUUUUUGGGCAUCUGGGAUCUGCCCUUUUGGGGAGGGGUACUGUCAAGAUUUUGUGCUUUGGUUUUAUCAGUUAUUAUGAUUUUUGGUCAUGUUCUGUUUUGAUUUGUCCCUCUGUCAGAGCAGUUUCAUUAUCCUGUCUUCAUUUCUGUCAGUCUUUUUAAGAGUCUGGUUUUCAGAUAAUCUUUGUCCGGUCAUCUGUUCUGUUCUGCUGCCUUUUCUGUUUGUCCACGGUUUUUGUCAUGUUUUAGUUCAUUUACUAAAUGUUGAGUUUCUGUCAGCAAACCUGAUCUCCUAACACUUUCUGACUGAGCGUCAAGCAGGAAAGUACUGGGUCUUAUUUUCAGAGUCUUUGGACUGUGGACUUGAAUUCCAGUUUCAGGGUGGACCACAAGGACUCUGAGCGGUCUCUAGAUUGAACAGACAAAAUAAUACAUGAUUCCACAAUAAAAGCAGGAUCUCAUCAA